This 1232-nucleotide ribosomal RNA is filed under the name Candidatus Phytoplasma fraxini. RNAcentral describes it as "bacterial SSU rRNA". It matches the Rfam family "Bacterial small subunit ribosomal RNA", at positions 161 to 1389 of the family's 1533-position model. Lineage: Bacteria; Bacillati; Mycoplasmatota; Mollicutes; Acholeplasmatales; Acholeplasmataceae. The record is from RNAcentral.
UGCUAAGACUGGAUAGGAAAUAAAAAGGCAUCUUUUUAUUUUUAAAAGACCUUUUUCGGAAGGUAUGCUUAAAGAUGAGCUUGCGCCACAUUAGUUUGUUGGUGGGGUAAUGGCCUACCAAGACGAUGAUGUGUAGCUGGACUGAGAGGUCGAACAGCCACAUUGGGACUGAGACACGGCCCAAACUCCUACGGGAGGCAGCAGUAGGGAAUCUUCGGCAAUGGAGGAAACUCUGACCGAGCAACGCCGCGUGAACGAUGAAGUAUUUCGGUAUGUAAAGUUCUUUUAUUGAAGAAGAAAAAAUAGUGGAAAAACUAUCUUGACGUUAUUCAAUGAAUAAGCCCCGGCUAACUAUGUGCCAGCAGCCGCGGUAAGACAUAGGGGGCGAGCGUUAUCCGGAAUUAUUGGGCGUAAAGGGUGCGUAGGCGGUUAGGAAAGUCUAUAAUUUAAUUUCAGUGCUUAACGCUGUCUUGUUAUAGAAACUACCUUGACUAGAGUUAGAUAGAGGCAAGCGGAAUUCCAUGUGUAGCGGUAAAAUGUGUAAAUAUAUGGAGGAACACCAGAAGCGUAGGCGGCUUGCUGGGUCUUGACUGACGCUGAGGCACGAAAGCGUGGGUAGCAAACAGGAUUAGAUACCCUGGUAGUCCACGCCGUAAACGAUGAGUACUAAGUGUCGGGAUAAAACUCGGUACUGAAGUUAACACAUUAAGUACUCCGCCUGAGUAGUACGUACGCAAGUAUGAAACUUAAAGGAAUUGACGGGACUCCGCACAAGCGGUGGAUCGUGUUGUUUAAUUCGAAGAUACACGAAAAAUCUUACCAGGUCUUGACAUGCUCUGCAAAGCUAUAGAAAUAUAGUGGAGGUUAUCAGGGACACAGGUGGUGCAUGGUUGUCGUCAGUUCGUGUCGUGAGAUGUUAGGUUAAGUCCUAAAACGAGCGCAACCCUUGUCGUUAGUUACCAGCACGUAAUGGUGGGCACUUUAACGAGACCGCCAAUUAAACAUUGGAGGAAGGUGAGGAUUACGUCAAAUCAUCAUGCCCCUUAUGAUCUGGGCUACAAACGUGAUACAAUGGCUGUUACAAAGAGUAGCUGAAGCGCGAGUUUUUAGCCAAUCUCAAAAAAGCAGUCUCAGUUCGGAUUGAAGUCUGUAACUCGACUUCAUGAAGUUGGAAUCGCUAGUAAUCGCGAAUCAGCAUGUCGCGGUGAAUACGUUCACGGGGUUUGUACACA